This is a small nucleolar RNA of Ochotona princeps (American pika), 147 nucleotides long. Its record names the gene SNORA74. It matches the Rfam family "Small nucleolar RNA SNORA74". From Rfam's summary of the family: U19 belongs to the H/ACA class of snoRNAs. snoRNAs bind a number of proteins (including dyskerin, Gar1p and Nop10p in the case of the H/ACA class) to form snoRNP complexes. The record is from Ensembl. Lineage: Eukaryota; Metazoa; Chordata; Mammalia; Lagomorpha; Ochotonidae.
CCCAGCUGUAGACAACACUUAGGUUGCAUCAUUACCUAGGCAAGUAUUACACUGCUGGGAGAAAAGCAGUUAAUAGCUGGCAGGCAUCCUGGGCCUGGUUAAUGCCAAAUACGUGUUAACUGUACCAGUGUGCCACUAUGGUUCAUU